Chinchilla lanigera (long-tailed chinchilla) is the source of this 5154-nucleotide long non-coding RNA. The record is from Ensembl. NCBI's taxonomy places the organism in Eukaryota, Metazoa, Chordata, Mammalia, Rodentia, Chinchillidae.
AUGGAGGACACUCAGAAUGACACAACUCCCAUUCCUCCUGCCACAGGAAGAACCUGCCACAUCUCAAUGGCACAAGGCAUCAUGAUUCCCAAAGCCUAUGAACCUCGCAGAGGAAUAAAAUGUGUCGGUGGCAGAAAUGGAUCUACCCAGCGGCACAAGACAGGGCCCAACCAGCAGCUGCGUGUGAGCCAGCGGGAGAUGUUCAAGGCUUGUUAUUACAGAACUUCAAUUGUCCCCUCUCUCCCUGACCACAAACUGCAUCCCGUAGUCAAGAGCUCUCAACUUUCCUAGUACGCACUGAAUUGGAAGUCUGGAUUUUUCACUUUCCUCUAUGAAGUCACAUUUUCCUCAAAAUAAUGAAGCUACUUCAUGAGAACAUAAAUGUUUGCACUGGUACAGUAGUUUGUUUUUAAUCAUUUUAGCAUUGUAAAUUGGAGGGCAAUAUAUAUAACAUAAAAAUAUCUGAUAACUUACCACACAGCCCAUGAGCUGAGACUGCUAGUACCCACACCUACCCAUGUGCUCCUCCAGGAUCCCACCUCCUGCUUCUCCAGAGGGAACCACCAGCCUGAAUUCUGUGUUCAUCCAUCCUUUCCUCCUCAUAUGUGUGUGCAUGUCUGUGUAUAUCAAUGUCUUUAGCUAUGGAGAUACGUUUUUACUUUUCAGGCAGUUUCAUGCUCUUUGUAGUGUUUCUGACAUACCACUAUGUUUCCAAGACACAUCCACAUAGUUCUGUGAGCUAAUAAUUCAACCACUCAUCUGGAGGAUGUGUCCCAAUCCAGUACUGUACCACAUUUAUUUAUCCAUUCUUUUCCUUUCUAUCCUCAGCUUUCAAAAUUCCCCAUUAAUAAGUGUUAGAAGGAAAGCACUGGAGCAGAAAGCUCAGUUCCUCUUAGAACCGUAACUGGAGGAAGAACAAGGACUUUGGAGUCACGGAUCUGCACUGCAAUCCUGGUUGCACUUCUGGGGAUGGUGGAUGUGUCCGCCAUUUUGAUCAUGGUGCUUGUCUCUUGUGUGUCCAUCCAUGUCAAAACUUGUUAAGUUAUACACUUUAAAUACAGAUAGCUUAUUUUAUGUGAGUUACACAUAAAAUAUUACCAUAAUAAAGCUCUUUUAGAAGAGGGAUCUUCUUUCGGUAUUGGAUCUUAAGUGACUCAGUCUCUCUCAGAUGUGGUUUCCUCAUCCACGUCGUGGGUGUCACCAAAACCCCCUUGCAUGGUAGCAGAACAUGACACUGAGCAUAGUAACUGGACCCUGAGCUCUCUCUGUGCCCGGUGCUUAGCUCUAUGUCAGGAACACAGAGCACAAGAAGCGAAAGGCGCUUUCCUUCCAUCCGGAAGAGAAGGUAGAGGAGAGUGGAGGGUAUGUACAGUGUUACAGGAUGUGCACAGAUUAGACAGAGCGAGUUACCGGAGACACUGCAUUGGUCCGCAUCCAUCAUGACCUGGGCGUGACAGAACCCGAGGAUGCCAUCCCUGCCUGCCACGCUACAGAGUGCUAACAGCGUGCCAGAACUUGCAGCUCACUGAGGACCGGGAGCCACCAUUGACUCCUUUAUGUUUUCACUGUGUCCUGCAGUGACUCACAGAGACCCAGUAGGAAAGGAUUACAUUCAGAGCCAUCAUUUCUAGACUCUCAACUACCCUAGGCCAGGGGUUAGGUCUGCACACUGAGCUCAAGCAGCACUUAACGUUUUGGGGGUGAAGGAGGAUAAAGAAUGCAUAAAUGCUAGACAAGUCAAAGAUGGCAUGAGAAACCAGGGCUGGUGGUGCACACCUGUAAUCCCAGCACUCAGGAAGCUAAGGCGAGAGGACCACUGUGAGUCUGAGGCUACUCUGGGCUACAUAGUGAGUUCUGCCUGGGCUAGGCACUGACACCCUGUCUCAGAAAAACAGACAAAGCAUGAGAGAUGACACAGGAAAUCACAGUGAGCGACAAGGAAUCUGGGUGAUAUAGUGAUUUUUUCCCUUUUCUUUAACCAACAUGCUAUAAUGAAAGCAAUGUAAGCCUGAGACUCUCUGCUUGUAGUUUUGAGAAAGUAACUUUGUAUUUCUGAACCUCAGCUUCCAGAUCAUUAAAAUGACAGCAACAACUAUCAAAAAUACCUAAUGCAGGGGAGAGUCUAAUGGAAAAUGAGCUAUGAUUUGUGGGAAAGUUCUGAAAUGUCCUCAGGUGUCCUACAGUCAUUGCAAAUUGACUAGAGUAACCACCAGGGAAGUUCUUCAUAUAGAGGACAUGUGAAACUGCCACAACCGGAAAUUGUUAGACGCUGCUAAAACCUCCCAACAUCAUUGCCUUAGGCAGGAAAUUCUGCGUGGGUAGAAUAAAAGACAAGACGAUUGGGAGAGUGGCCAAAUUUUCACAAAAACAGACAUUGUCUAUUGAGCCAUUUUCUUUGAUGUCUGGUUUGAGAAAUGAAGCAGUUUAAUAAAAGUAAUCAGGAUCUUCCGAGUCUGUACUUCGUACCAGGCUCCGCCCUAAGGGUUUCUCAGACAUCAAUGGACUCUGGCCUCACAAUACCCCUCCAAGUUCGGUAGGGUUGCUGUGUAACUUAUUAUCCGAGCCGGAACACCUCUGAGAACGAAAAGGGAUGCUGUGAAUAAUUACACGGGGCAGCAGCUGCAGCCAGCGAGGCAGAGCCACCAGCCUGGACAGGUGGGGAAGCUGCCCAAAGUUCAGGGAGCCUCCUGCGUGUACUGUUACAGCAGCAAGGGGACUGCCCCCCUCUUCAAAGUCCUCCUUGGGCUGAAACAUUUCCUUCAAGACAGCCUCAAACACAACCAGCUCAAAGAACAACAGGAUACAGAAAAGAAAAUUUUGGUUUUUAACACAACCUCUGACGCCAACCAUUUAUUGCCAAAAUUCCAAGCUAAUGCAUCUCUUUGGGGGUGAAUUUUAUACAGGGGAUUGAGUAAUUCAUAACUGAUGUCAUUUCUCUAGGACAAUUGGACCUCUGUGAACAUUUCCCAGAAUCAGUGAGCAUGCCAUCAAAUAGAACAUCUGACAGUGGCAGUUGGAGAAAUUCCCCAUCAGCCCCCAGGAAGUAUUUUGGCACCUGUACCUGAAUUCCCAUCAAAUACCUGAAUAACCUCUUUGGUUGUAACUGGUAUACACUGACAACGGAAGGGGAGAAAAGGCAAGACUAAAACAAAAAACAAUGACUUAUUCUUUAACUUUACAGGUGAAAGGUAUCUUCUGGAAAUUCCUAAUGCCUUUGCUGACAGCAUUUUGUCAUGCAGCAUGCUUACUAUUUAGACGAUACUGCAAGAACAACUGGAAAUAAUUGGAACAAUUUUUUUCUUGCUACACUGUUACCACUUUCAAUACCAAAGAUAUGUGAGGCUAUCAGUAGCAAAAUACCUUUGUUCAUACCAUAAAACAGAGUGUAGAGUCCUACUUGGUGUUUUGGAUUAGGAUCAUUGGAGUAAUGACUCUAGAACAAUUAACCAGAGUAAGUAACUGGAACAGAUGUCUUUUAGGCUCUCUAAUUUGUACGUUCUUAACUUUUGCCUAUUAGCAACUCUUAUUUUGGGAAAGAACUCCUAUCCUAAGCACAAAAAGGAGUCUCACUAUGUGUUGAAUGAAAGUUAGAUGCCUUUCUUUGUAAAUGUCUCUGCUGACUUACAAUCAUUGGUAGCCUAAGUGUUUGGUAACAUGUGUGCUUCUUCUGUUAUACAGGCCUCUCCCUAGGCCCUACCCCUAAAGCCCACCUCCAGUAGAAUCCCCCUCAAACACUUCUACACCUUCUGUUUAAAGUGAUCCAACCAUGUAGCAAAUUUAAGACCCUGGAUCACAGUUAAGGGUCUUGAUCUUAACUUGGAGGUAGCAUAAAGAACUGGCUUGGAGACCAUUUUACACUGACUAGAUUCCCACCCAAAUGAUUCCAGGGGCCAACUUGAUCCCAUGCAGGCUUAGGUCUGUUUCUAGAGCAUAGGUUCUGUUUGUAAGGUUCUGCUCUGCUGCUGUGUACCCUCGGGGCCGCAUGAAAGGGACCCCUGGCCUUCGCAUUCAUACCUGGAAAAGGCAGCACUCCUUCCUCUUCCCUUCCCAAGUGAAGAACUUUUAGAUUCAGCCUCUCCAGCUCUCUCCCUCCUUCUCCCACCCUCUUAAAACAAAAAACACCCAAAUCAAAAUAUGCUACUCACUUUUUUUUUUUUUUGAGACAGAGCCUUGCUACAUAGUUCAGGGUGGCCUUGAACUCACAGCAAUCCUCCUACCUCAGUCUCCAGAGUGCUGCAGUUACAGUUGUGAACCACCAUGCCCGGUCCCACUCACCUUUUUAUUGGUAUUGUGUUAAUUUUAUAAACUAACUUGGGCAAAACUGAUGGCUUUUUUUUAGAGUCUUCCAAUCUCAGCACAUAAUGCACUUUUUCAUUUACUCAACUCUUGUGUUCUUCUACAGCAUUUUAAAGUUUGUUUUCGUGUGGAUCUCAUGUUUCCCUUAUUAAGUUAAUCCCUAUUUUGGCUGCUAUAGCAAUUUCAAAUAAGUCAUAUCUUCUACUUUGACUUUGUAGAUAUGAAAGUUAUGCUUUCCUGUGUGUUAAUUCUUAUGCUUUACUACAGUGUUGUAUUUUAUUAUUUAUAAUUGUUUUAAAUUUUUAUGUUCCUGAAUUUGCCAUGUAUACAAACUUACAGUGUACAACAGGUGGUGAUCUAACCCCAAUCUUUCCUAUUUUUACACUCGUGAGUCCACAGUUUCCUUAACCGUGCUGGCUAGUUCUUCCCACACAAUUUUAGGUAGAAAUGAAACUGUCUUCUCUUGUCUUUCAUCCUAAGGAAAGCACAGGCCAUUGAAAAUUAGGUUGCAUCUGGGGACCAGGCAGACCAACUUUAAAUUAUAGGAGUACCCACAUGUUCUUCCACUCCUUUUUCUCUUUCAAAAUCAAGACUGGCUAUUAAAUUGCACCAACUAUCUUGUCAGUAUCUGUGGCUUUAAUUACCAGGUUUUUCUCCGCAGGUCUAUUACUAUGAUUAAUACAUGACUAUAUUACAUAUUGAACAUUCUUGCAUUCCAUGAAAAUAAACCCAAGUUGAUUUGUGAAUAUUUGUCUUUUAAUAAGCUGCUGGACUAUUUCUUAAUGUUUGCUUAUGAUUUAUAAAGCCACUAUUCACGAAUGAAACUGGUCAGGUAAUUUUCUGCUUUGUGCAGUCUUU